This 449-nucleotide ribosomal RNA is filed under the name uncultured bacterium. Its description in RNAcentral is "partial 16S ribosomal RNA". It matches the Rfam family "Bacterial small subunit ribosomal RNA", at positions 29 to 523 of the family's 1533-position model. The record is from RNAcentral.
AGCGAACGCUGGCGGCAGGCUUAACACAUGCAAGUCGAACGCCAUCUUCGGAUGGAGUGGCAGACGGGUGAGUAACGCGUGGAAACAUACCUUUUGCUUCGGAAUAUUCCCGGGAAACUGGGAGCAAUACCGAAUACGCCCUGAGGGGGAAAGAUUUAUCGGCAAAAGAUUGGUCCGCGUUAGAUUAGGUAGUUGGUAGGGUAAUGGCCUACCAAGCCUACGAUCUAUAGCUGGUCUGAGAGGAUGAUCAGCCACAUUGGGACUGAGACACGGCCCAAACUCCUACGGGAGGCAGCAGUGGGGAAUAUUGGACAAUGGGCGAAAGCCUGAUCCAGCCAUGCCGCGUGAAUGAUGAAGGCCUUAGGGUUGUAAAAUUCUUUCACCGGGGACGAUAAUGACGGUACCCGGAGAAGAAGCCCCGGCUAACUUCGUGCCAGCAGCCGCCGCGG